This 578-nucleotide ribosomal RNA is filed under the name Holocentrus adscensionis (longjaw squirrelfish). RNAcentral describes it as "partial 16S ribosomal RNA". It matches the Rfam family "Bacterial large subunit ribosomal RNA", at positions 1817 to 2597 of the family's 2925-position model. Lineage: Eukaryota; Metazoa; Chordata; Actinopteri; Holocentriformes; Holocentridae. The record is from RNAcentral.
CGCCUCUUGCAAAAACAAAGCAUAAGAGGUCCCGCCUGCCCUGUGACUAUAUGUUUAACGGCCGCGGUAUUUUGACCGUGCAAAGGUAGCGCAAUCACUUGUCUUUUAAAUGAAGACCCGUAUGAAUGGCAUAACGAGGGCUUAACUGUCUCCUUUUUCCAGUCAAUGAAAUUGAUCUCCCCGUGCAGAAGCGGGGAUAAACACAUAAGACGAGAAGACCCUGUGGAGCUUUAGACACAAGGCAGACCAUACAGAGCAGCUUAAAACAAAAAGCUAAACCCAUAUGAACCCACUGCCCAGCAUGUCUUUGGUUGGGGCGACCGCGGGGAAAAACAAAACCCCCAUGUGGAAUGAGAGCACCCCUCUUACAACUAAGAGCCACCCCUCUAAGAAACAGCACAGCUGACCAAAAAUGAUCCGACACAGUCGAUCAACGGACCGAGUUACCCCAGGGAUAACAGCGCAAUCCUCUCCCAGAGCCCAUAUCGACGAGGGGGUUUACGACCUCGAUGUUGGAUCAGGACAUCCUAAUGGUGCAGCCGCUAUUAAGGGUUCGUUUGUUCAACGAUUAAAGUCCU